GUUAGGAAUAUUGGACAAUGGGCGAAAGCCUGAUCCAGCCAUGCCGCGUGAACGAUGAAGGCCCUCGGGUUGUAAACUGCUUUUGUACGGAACGAAAAGCCUGGGGCUAAUAUCCCCGGGUCAUGACGGUACCGUAAGAAUAAGCACCGGCUAACUACGUGCCAGCAGCCGCGGUAAUACGUAGGGUGCAAGCGUUAAUCGGAAUUACUGGGCGUAAAGCGUGCGCAGGCGGUUUUGUAAGACAGUGGUGAAAUCCCCGGGCUCAACCUGGGAACUGCCAUUGUGACUGCAAGGCUAGAGUGCGGCAGAGGGGGAUGGAAUUCCGCGUGUAGCAGUGAAAUGCGUAGAUAUGCGGAGGAACACCGAUGGCGAAGGCAAUCCCCUGGGCCUGCACUGACGCUCAUGCACGAAAGCGUGGGGAGCAAACAGGAUUAGAUACCCCAGUAGUCC
Molecule: ribosomal RNA, 450 nt
Filed under: uncultured bacterium
Lineage: Bacteria
Description: partial 16S ribosomal RNA
Rfam family: Bacterial small subunit ribosomal RNA
Source: RNAcentral